This 85-nucleotide transfer RNA is filed under the name Alphaproteobacteria bacterium RIFCSPHIGHO2_02_FULL_46_13. RNAcentral describes it as "tRNA-Leu". It matches the Rfam family "tRNA". Rfam says of the family: Transfer RNA (tRNA) molecules are approximately 80 nucleotides in length. Their secondary structure includes four short double-helical elements and three loops (D, anti-codon, and T loops). RNAcentral also lists the same sequence under 2 other names. Lineage: Bacteria; Pseudomonadati; Pseudomonadota; Alphaproteobacteria. The record is from RNAcentral.
GCGGGCGUGGCGAAACUGGUAGACGCACUAGACUUAGGAUCUAGCGACUUCGGUCAUGGGGGUUCAAGUCCCUUCGCCCGCACCA